GCAUGAGGCUUGAAGAUACAACACGUAAAACAAAUCCUGACAGCUCCGUGAUUGUAUUAUAAUAUUUAUAAACAACACAUAAACAAACUGAACAGACACGCCGCGCUGUAAAGUGCAGGAAUACAGUGACAAGAGACUCACCUUGUCCCGUUAACCAGAUGCUGAAAUACAGAGAUCAUUUGACGAAUAUAACCUCAACAUCAACAGCACUGUCCCGUUAACCAGAUGCUGAAAUACAGAGAUCAUUUGACGAAUAUAACCUCAACAUCAACAGCACACACAUUCAAAGACAGCCAGCUGACUGACAGAAGCUGAAGUUCUCCAUCAUCUCCACUAAGCGGCGACUACUGAAGGUAUGAAGCUGAAGUUCUCCAUCAUCUCCACUAAGCGGCGACUACUGAAGGCAUGAAGCUGAAGUUCUCCAUCAUCUCCACUAAGCGGCGUCAGCAGUAAACCUUGACUCUAUGAUGCUUGAUGAAGGUAACCUGUUGCCACUAUCCCAACAUGCCAUUUUACCAACAGACCAUGCAAUGAUGACAAAUGUUACACAAUUCUGAUCAUCUGAACUUUAAUAUGAAAAGACACAAAUAGAAAAUGCAGCAAGAAAAACUCAGCACAGUUGACGUAAGUUUUAAUUUGUUUAUUUUAAAAUUAAAAUAAAUAUCAAUGCAUGUAAAAAUCUCUGAGAAAACAAACACAA
This is a long non-coding RNA of Danio aesculapii, 700 nucleotides long. RefSeq lists it as uncharacterized. The transcript is spliced from 4 exons. The record is from RefSeq and is a predicted model, not a curated record. NCBI's taxonomy places the organism in Eukaryota, Metazoa, Chordata, Actinopteri, Cypriniformes, Danionidae.